RNA transcript from Cyanidioschyzon merolae strain 10D, 1460 nucleotides. RefSeq lists it as hypothetical. The transcript has a single exon. NCBI's taxonomy places the organism in Eukaryota, Rhodophyta, Bangiophyceae, Cyanidiales, Cyanidiaceae. The record is from RefSeq and is a predicted model, not a curated record.
GAGGACGCGCUGGCCUGGGACGUGCACACAACGACCAGUAGCUCCGUUCCGAAGUAUUGGCGGUGGGUACCAGAUCUUGGAGAUAUGGUGUGCAGUAAUGGUUGCUUUCCUGUAUGAUGCUGUCCAACGAGCGAUUGGGGUUUUCUGCUCAGUAUGACUGUUCUGUCCACCAAAAACUUGGCGAGGCGCGAGGCCGGCACGCGGCAUCGAGUGCGGGGUACUCAGCCGCUGCUGCUUGUACAGAAACGUAUAUGAAUCGUAAGUAUAAUUGGCAACAGAUAUCGAGACAGGUGUGCAGCAGCGAAGCCAGCCGCGAUACAGGUACUCCAAGCGCACGCCCUGCUCAGUUCUGAGGGCGACUCCGAGGCGAGGUUGUUUGCGCGAUCGCGACGUUGACGACGCCCUAGGACGGCAUCAUCGCCAGCGGGGGGACGCUCACGCAUCGCAGAGCACCCGACCAGAGGCCAGUGACACUUCCAGGUGCUUGACACCCGAAAUGAGGACCCAGCUUAUGCUUCGUUCCUCGCUGCACGGUGCAGGUUCUCUGGCACAUGGGAUGGUUCUCAGUUUCUACACCGACGUCUGCAUAUUGCUUCCGUUUGACGGUGCAGAACCGAUGGAUCAAAGCAGGAUACCCCGAUGAGGCUACUUGUACCAGCCGUUUGGACAGGCACUUUGGUUUCUUCAUGGGCGUUUCGAUGCUCUCGCGCUCACAGUACAGUGCACCCGAAUGGAAAAGCGACCUGGUCCAUCUUGCGCUCCUACGGUAGUAGCGUUGACUACCCGCGCUAGAGGGAAUCGCCAGUGCGUGUGCUGCUGUAGACUUGUUACAGAGGCGCGACGACUUUGCGAUGACUCUCAUGGUGUCGGUUGGAGGAAAUAUUGUUCUUCCAGCGAGUCUAUCAGGUACCAGUGCGAAGCAUUUCGAGGAGUUGCCUCUGUCGUGGCACCGUGUGGGACGGAAAUCGGAGCGCCCAACACAGCGCUUUCCGUGAAGGUGCCGCAGCCGCCUUUUCACCUACUUUACGCUCCAAUUUCCAUCUCAGAUGCCAUGCCAGCAAGAGGCACGCAUCAGCCAUACCUGGGGGCUUCUAUGCCGCAUCGACGUAACGUGGACGCUUGGCCGAUGUUGCGGCUCUGGGCAGUUUCGCCGCAGCCUUGCCCGAGAGCACGCAUUCGCAGCUCGCCGUUGGGUGCGUGCCAGGCAAUCAGUGCCCUAUGGCCUGUUGCUGGGGUGCUGUCCAACAUGUCACUGCGAGCGUGUCUGUUGGCGUCGAUGCCGCUGCGCGAUGCACGCAUCGUGCACGACACGCAUUCGCCGACACGGAUGCAUGAACAGUUUGCAAUGGGUGCUAUGUGUACUGUAGACCGUUUGCGCAAGCUGCUAGUCGCUGUGCCUAGUGCUCUUCACGGACGCUUAGAAACGCAGCGAAUCAUAGUUUUUCAAGAAUAAAAUUUAU